RNAcentral lists this ribosomal RNA (253 nucleotides) under uncultured bacterium. RNAcentral's name for it is "partial 16S ribosomal RNA". It matches the Rfam family "Bacterial small subunit ribosomal RNA", at positions 524 to 776 of the family's 1533-position model. The record is from RNAcentral.
UACGUAGGGUGCAAGCGUUGUCCGGAAUUAUUGGGCGUAAAGAGCUCGUAGGCGGCUUGUCACGUCGGUUGUGAAAGCCCGGGGCUUAACCCCGGGUCUGCAGUCGAUACGGGCAGGCUAGAGUGUGGUAGGGGAGAUCGGAAUUCCUGGUGUAGCGGUGAAAUGCGCAGAUAUCAGGAGGAACACCGGUGGCGAAGGCGGCAUCCUGGACCAAUUCUGACGCUGAGGAGCGAAAGCCAGGGGAGCAAACGGG